This 111-nucleotide non-coding RNA is filed under the name Clostridium cellulovorans. RNAcentral describes it as "TPP sequence". It matches the Rfam family "TPP riboswitch aptamer (THI element)". Rfam says of the family: Vitamin B(1) in its active form thiamin pyrophosphate (TPP) is an essential coenzyme that is synthesised by coupling of pyrimidine and thiazole moieties in bacteria. The previously detected thiamin-regulatory element, thi box was extended, resulting in a new, highly conserved RNA secondary structure, the THI element, which is widely distributed in eubacteria and also occurs in some archaea. Analysis of operon structures identified a large number of new candidate thiamin-regulated genes, mostly transporters, in various prokaryotic organisms. RNAcentral also lists the same sequence under 1 other name. The record is from RNAcentral. Lineage: Bacteria; Bacillati; Bacillota; Clostridia; Eubacteriales; Clostridiaceae.
UCUAUAACACAGGGGUGUUGGAUCGGCCAACUGAGAUUAAGAACCUUAAUUCUUUAACCCUAAUACCUGAACUGGGUAAUGCCAGCGUAGGAAGUUGUUUAUUAUUUUAUU